This 490-nucleotide ribosomal RNA is filed under the name uncultured bacterium. RNAcentral describes it as "partial 16S ribosomal RNA". It matches the Rfam family "Bacterial small subunit ribosomal RNA", at positions 30 to 507 of the family's 1533-position model. The record is from RNAcentral.
AUUGAACGCUGGCGGCAUGCUUUACACAUGCAAGUCGGACGGCAGCACAGAGAAGCUUGCUUCUUGGGUGGCGAGUGGCGAACGGGUGAGUAAUAUAUCGGAACGUACCGAGUAAUGGGGGAUAACUAAUCGAAAGAUUAGCUAAUACCGCAUAUUCUCUGAGGAGGAAAGCAGGGGACCUUCGGGCCUUGCGUUAUUCGAGCGGCCGAUAUCUGAUUAGCUAGUUGGUGGGGUAAAGGCCUACCAAGGCGACGAUCAGUAGCGGGUCUGAGAGGAUGAUCCGCCACACUGGGACUGAGACACGGCCCAGACUCCUACGGGAGGCAGCAGUGGGGAAUUUUGGACAAUGGGCGCAAGCCUGAUCCAGCCAUGCCACGUGUCUGAAGAAGGCCUUCGGGUUGUAAAGGACUUUUGUCAGGGAAGAAAAGGCUGUUGCUAAUAUCAAUAGCUGAUGACGGUACCUGAAGAAUAAGCACCGGCUAACUACGUG